Molecule: ribosomal RNA, 253 nt
Filed under: uncultured bacterium
Lineage: Bacteria
Description: partial 16S ribosomal RNA
Rfam family: Bacterial small subunit ribosomal RNA
Source: RNAcentral
UACGUAGGGUGCAAGCGUUGUUCGGAAUUAUUGGGCGUAAAGCGCGUGUAGGUGGCUAGUUAAGUCGGGUGUGAAAGCCCUCGGCUCAACCGGGGAAGUGCAUUCGAAACUAGCUGGCUAGAAGAUGGUAGAGGAAGGUGGAAUUCCAAGUGUAGAGGUGAAAUUCGUAGAUAUUUGGAGGAAUACCGGUGGCGAAGGCGGCCUUCUGGGCCAUUCUUGACACUGAGACGCGAAAGCGUGGGUAGCAAACAGG